This 72-nucleotide transfer RNA is filed under the name Ovis aries (sheep). It matches the Rfam family "tRNA". From Rfam's summary of the family: Transfer RNA (tRNA) molecules are approximately 80 nucleotides in length. The record is from Rfam by way of RNAcentral. Lineage: Eukaryota; Metazoa; Chordata; Mammalia; Artiodactyla; Bovidae.
UCCCUAAUAGCUCAGUUGGUAAAGAAUCUGUCUGCAAUGCAGGAGGCCCUGGUUCGAUUCCUGGGUUGGGAA